GGGGAUUUAGCUCAGUGGUAGAGCGCUUGCCUAGCAAGCACAAGGCCCUGGGUUCAGUCCCCAGCUCCU
Rattus norvegicus (Norway rat) is the source of this 69-nucleotide non-coding RNA. NCBI's taxonomy places the organism in Eukaryota, Metazoa, Chordata, Mammalia, Rodentia, Muridae. The record is from Rfam.